AAAUAUGAAGUGAUAAAUCACAAUUAGUUUCGACCUAAUCCUAGAUGUAAUACAUCCUUAUUUUU
RNAcentral lists this transfer RNA (65 nucleotides) under Oreogeton sp. DY-2020. Its description in RNAcentral is "tRNA-Arg". Lineage: Eukaryota; Metazoa; Arthropoda; Insecta; Diptera; Empididae. The record is from RNAcentral.